Molecule: ribosomal RNA, 231 nt
Filed under: Escherichia coli
Lineage: Bacteria; Pseudomonadati; Pseudomonadota; Gammaproteobacteria; Enterobacterales; Enterobacteriaceae
Description: partial 23S ribosomal RNA
Rfam family: Bacterial large subunit ribosomal RNA
Source: RNAcentral
UGAACAUUGAGCCUUGAUGUGUAGGAUAGGUGGGAGGCUUUGAAGUGUGGACGCCAGUCUGCAUGGAGCCGACCUUGAAAUACCACCCUUUAAUGUUUGAUGUUCUAACGUUGACCCGUGAUCCGGGUUGCGGACAGUGUCUGGUGGGUAGUUUGACUGGGGCGGUCUCCUCCUAAAGAGUAACGGAGGAGCACGAAGGUUGGCUAAUCCUGGUCGGACAUCAGGAGGUUA